RNAcentral lists this ribosomal RNA (570 nucleotides) under Triticum aestivum (bread wheat). RNAcentral describes it as "partial small subunit ribosomal RNA". The record is from RNAcentral. Lineage: Eukaryota; Viridiplantae; Streptophyta; Magnoliopsida; Poales; Poaceae.
AUGGCCAAGUUGUGCAGCUCGAUACCGAGGAUGGUCACCACCGACCUGGAGUGUGUUCAGAGAAUGGUGGCAUUGACCGAAUCUCUCGGUGUGCCCCGGGGAUCCGGAAUGUUCAGGCAUGCUCUCAGUGCUGUCGCAUUCCGCGACAAGAAGCAGAUCGCAGCCAAAGUGGAUCACCUGAAGAAGACGUUAGGGUGGUCGGAUGCCGAGGUGAGCACUGCUCUGCCUAAGGCCCUGUUUUUGCUCGCCAAGUCGAACGAAUCACUGCAGCACAGCUCCGAGUUCCUCAUGUCUGAGGUGGGAUUGGAACCGGCGUACAUUGCUCAUCGGCCAGUAAUUCUCUGUUACAGCCUAGAGGGCCGGAUGAGACCUCGGUACUACGUUGUAAAGUUUCUCAAGGAAAAUGGAUUGCUCAAGCACGACCCGAGCUACUAUACUGUUUUCAAGGAGACCGAGAAGUAUUUCGUGGGGAAGUUCAUAUACCCUCACAAGGAAGCUGCACCACACCUUGCUGAAGAUUAUGCUGCAGCUUGCGGAGGGGAAGUGCCCGCUAGAUUCAGAUUUACAUGA